Molecule: long non-coding RNA, 387 nt
Organism: Scylla paramamosain (green mud crab)
Lineage: Eukaryota; Metazoa; Arthropoda; Malacostraca; Decapoda; Portunidae
Exons: 6
Source: RefSeq, a predicted model, not a curated record
GCUGAGUCGCGGGGAAGUCAAAGAAUUCCGUCAGCGUAGGAUGGAGAAGGAAGCGGUUAACCUUCCACCCUACCACUUCUGGCUCCACCCUUCUCCCUGGAGUCUGGCGGACACCUGGAGGCUCAACACAGACGAAGCGUCGCACACACGGCAUUGACAGACAGACAGACAGACAGGCAGACAAGAAAGGAGGAAUAACGGUGGAAGUGAACUCUCGUGGCACAAGGGAGAAGACACGUCACUGUAGUUCCCGGUUAAGGUCGUGCCAACCUUACCUUCACAGUGCUUAAUUUCCGGGCGCGUGCUGGAGUUGCGGGUGGGUCGUGGUGAUGUGUUCUCUUGAUGUACUGUACUAUCCCCUCAAAUCCUUGAACGUAUUUUGGAAAC